GAUGCUCGUUUUCUGAAUUUUCUGAAUUUGUGAUUGCUCUUGGCCUUGUCAAGUGCGUUUUCUGAAUUUUCAGAUCUGCCGCUAGCUAUGGAAGUGCGUUUUCUAAAUUUCCGCAAGUGCAACGACCAGGUUCAGUUUUAGUUGAGUGUAGCACUAGUGCAGGCUUUGGAAGAUCAGUUAUAGUUCAUUGUAGUACUAGUGUAUGUCUAACAAACUAAAUGUUACGUAGUAGAUAGAUGCAAAGUUAGUUCAGCAAUGUCAAGUUCGGUUUUAGUUCAGUGUAGUACUGCUCAAGUUGAGUUUACUUCAGGUAUAAAAUUAUCUGUUGCAGCAGUCCGAGCGAUUGUGAUUCUCGUGUUGUCUGUAGGUUUUCCGUUAGGGAGGAGUUCGCUGAUAGCUUGGAGCAGCCGGUUCCGACCCGUCUACCGCUCGUGAUAGGGAAGGAAGGUCUUUGGCCUUUGCCACGCGAGUCCAAUGUGGCGUCCGCCUACGCCGAAGUUGUUGGAGACUGUGGACUCUCUUUGAGCAGGGCGAGAGCUGAGCGGAGGAAGAAAGCAUCGCCGAGGGAGUCCGUUGAAUAGACAAGCAACGUGAAUCCUGAAGCCCCGGGAUCGAUCAAGAGGUAAUAUCUUCACGAGAGUUAAUUCUCACUUCCUUGAACAUUAAUCACUGAUAUUAAUGAUAGAGCAUAGUAGGUUCCUGUAGAUCUGUGUUCGUACCAGAUUGCCCAACACAUGGGGUCUUGAAGAAAUCAAUUGAUGUCAUUCGUGUGUUUUUUUAUACAUUUGUUAUGGUUUGCCUAGUAAAGGAGGUAGCCAAGUUUGGUAGAAAAGUUGGGUAUGUCGGGUCAAACCAUUUGCAGCUUAGUAUAGCUGCUUGAGUUCAAUUGCCUAGCCUCGGUGGCGUGGAAAAAUCAAUUGAUGGCACGGGCGUUGAGCCGCCGGACUCGAACGCUGGGUUCGGGUGCGGGAAACGUGUUGGCGGUGCUAGCCAGGGGCGGAAAGAGGGUAACGAGCGACGUUGAGGUCCGCACAGUCGACCAAUAGGGUGAAUCCGGAGGAUCCAGGUUGGACAAAAAGGAUGAGCUUUGCAAGCCAGAUAACGAAGUGGAUAGGGAUUACAUCGAGAUGAUGAACUCUACACUAAUGGGUUACAGAAUUGACUGGUUGAAGAAGUUCAUCCUCCCCAGUGCUGUUCAUGGACUGCUGGUUGCUGUACAUCCUAGACAUCGAGAACAAGGAAGUUAUGGUGCUUGAUCCAACUGAGACAGAUCCAGCAAAUGAGAUGAUAAAGCAUGAGGCAACACGAACCGUGUAUGAGGUGAGUUUGUCCAGGAAUAAUUUAUAAAUAAAAUUAUAUUAUGUGCCUUUCAUAUGGCGAGACAACGAAUGGGAAUACCGUUGCCACCAAGGAGGAGAGUGGGGUGUACAUCGUCCACUACAUAACAGAGCUCACAGGGCUUUAGCAUCGUUCAUUGCUAAGCCCAUAAAAAGAAAAUUUUGUUUCGAGUGAUGAACUGAAAAAACACCAAAAAGCAACAAUGUUGUCAGUACACUAAGUCGUGCUUCUUGAUGUUAUUUUUUGUUUGACACGUGAGAAGCUAGAUCACAUUCGGUAGAAGAUUGCAUACAAUGUUGUGACCAUGAUGGGAAACAAGGGUGAUCUCCCGGUUUUCCAUUGCGAGGAGAUAAUUGACUGAUGGGAAAUGAAUCAUGGUUCAGAUUACUUGCAGGCUGGUAACAUCUUUUGUCCGUGCGACGAGUGUGGUCUGUCCAUUUAAGUGCACCCAUUAGUGUUGGGGGGCUUUUGGAGAAACCAAAAUCCAAAGUAGUGUGUGAUGGAAACCUAUGGACCUUAUUUGAAUUUGUACUUAAAGACCUGAGUAGAGUCAGGAGACCUACAUGUGUGC
This is a long non-coding RNA of Triticum aestivum (bread wheat), 1909 nucleotides long. RefSeq lists it as uncharacterized. Lineage: Eukaryota; Viridiplantae; Streptophyta; Magnoliopsida; Poales; Poaceae. The record is from RefSeq and is a predicted model, not a curated record. The transcript has 3 exons.